GACGAACGCUGGCGGCGUGCCUAAUACAUGCAAGUAGAACGCUGAAGGAGGAGCUUGCUUCUCUGGAUGAGUUGCGAACGGGUGAGUAACGCGUAGGUAACCUGCCUGGUAGCGGGGGAUAACUAUUGGAAACGAUAGCUAAUACCGCAUAAUAGUAGAUGUUGCAUGACAUUUGCUUAAAAGGUGCAAUUGCUUCACUACCAGAUGGACCUGCGUUGUAUUAGCUAGUUGGUGAGGUAACGGCUCACCAAGGCAACGAUACAUAGCCGACCUGAGAGGGUGGUGGGCCACCCGGGGACUGAGGACCGGCCCAAACUCCUACGGGGGGAAACGGUAGGGAAUCUUCGGCAAUGGACGGAAGUCUGACCGAGCAACGCCGGGGGAGUGAAGAGGGUUUUCGGAUCUUAAAGCUCUGUUUUAAGAAAAGAACGAGUGUGAGGUUGGAAAGUUCACACUGGGACGGUAUUUUACCAAAAAGGGGCGGCAAAUUACGG
RNAcentral lists this ribosomal RNA (494 nucleotides) under uncultured bacterium. Its description in RNAcentral is "partial 16S ribosomal RNA". It matches the Rfam family "Bacterial small subunit ribosomal RNA", at positions 28 to 506 of the family's 1533-position model. The record is from RNAcentral.